GUGUAUGUGGUGAAGACUGACAAAGCACACAAAAAGGAGUGCGCAAUGUACCGAAAUAUACUACAGAAGGACGAACUGUAUGUGGCAUAGCUAGUGUUUUGUUCCAGUUCACUCUAUUUGUUGCCAAAUCGAGCGAAGGUGGAAGCACUGUCGCUGUGCUAGUGUGGAUACGUGGUCGGCAGCUCGCAUUGAAAUGUGCACGGCAGCACUCCGCUACGAGUGAUUCAGGCCUAUUGUUCGCCAAUCAAACCAACUGAAUGCAGUAAAGCGGUAAUAAACUGCCCCCCAAUGCAACGUUUUUGCACGAAUGACACGGAAUGUUCUUUUUUUUCAUGCAUGCCUAGUUUUGUUUUUGCGAUCGGGCCCACGACGGCCACAUCGAGCGGUUAAAGACAACCGCUAAUAGCAUUCAAAUUCGUACAAUACAAAAAAAAAAAAAAAAAUGAAAGCCGAUUCAUGUCGGUGAAGAAGGCACACGGCCGGAAAAGCACCCUUUAUGGCAUUUUUGGACAACGCACCACAACUGUGAACUUGUCGCCAAUGGAACAUCAUGAUGGCCACCAAUUGAACCCAUUUUCAUUCGUGGACCACCAUAAGGCCCCUAUGCUUCACUUCAUACUCAACAGGCACGGCUACGGAAGCUAUAAAAUGAACCUGCCAGCAUCAACAAUUUCAUAGACUACUAGUCACCGCGAACAUCGGAGCUCCGACGCCGUAGCAGAAAUACUGCUCGCGGAAGUGCUUGCUGCACGCUCCAGUUGCAGCCGAUGGCUGCUUACCAGUUCUAAGUUUCGGGACAGUUAUGCAAAAUACAUGUGAUAAAUUUUAAGUCCUUUGAAAUGGUGGAACUUCCAUAGGUGCGUCGUUAGAACUCGUUUGCAGGCUGUACAGAACAGAACAUCCUUUGUAAGGGUAACUACUGUCACACGCGUCUGUAUCCUUGCCAAAACCUAAAUUAUUACUGGAUAACUGGUGUCUUAACCUCAACAGGUGAUGUGCACGCAGAGGUAAGUCAGCUUAGAGGUGAAACUAAAUGGAAAGAAGUGUGUUUUAAAUGCACAGAGUACUGUGUGCCGUCGCGAACAAACCACAGUAUGCCCCCGCGCCUUGGUUCGCAGUGCAAUGUCUCGCGUAAUGCAGGGUGUUCUUUUUAGCUGCACUCAAUUAAAAAAAAAAAGUUCCUGUGGGAGAUAGCACAAUCACAGUCCUUGAUCUCCAUUACUUGAUGAGGCGGCAUUACUUCUACAAGAGAUAAAAACGCUUAAUUGAACAAUUAACAUAACUACACAAGCUAACACUUUUAAUUAAUCACAUAACAGAACAUAUUUCCAUUUACGAAUUGAAUGUAGUGAGUAUGCAAGACAUAUCUACUUGGAACGAAUUCUUAUUUCGAGGUAUUAAUUUUCAGUGUCCGACGAAAUGCAUUUGCGUUCCAGUUACUUUUGUACUUCAAUGCAAACAAUAGUUUUUUUUUUUUUUUAUGUGGCACAGUGCAUUUUUACCGCAAGUUUGGCGGCGAAUAUUUGGAAAACGGCACCAUCCUCAGAAUUCGUUCCAAGUCCAUAUGCCUUUCAUACUCACUAGCUACAAUUCGUAGAUUGAAAUUUGUCACCUGGCUCCACGCACCAUCUUCCUCAGGGCGUGAGCAUGAACAGGGCAGGCGUACAUACGUUACUCCUAUCCGACAGUAAUUUUACAAGUUAUUUUCUUAUAUUUAAUUUUUUUGUGGCUCGGGUAUCGACACGGUAUGCGUGCAUACGUUCGUUACGCAAUCGCCGACCCAGACAAUAAGUGCAGUUAGUUGCUUCAAAUCACUUUCGAGGCCGCUGGCGUCGCGGCUCGUGGUCACGUGCCGCCACACUUAGUAUUCCGCGCGCUGCAAGUAAAGCUAGCGAAGAGGAACUCCGCAGGAUAUAGCGUACACGAAAACGAUUAAGUUCUAUCCCAAUCAAUUUUCUUUUCGCCUUCGUCGUCAUCCCGCUUACUCUCCUCCCUAUCCGCCCCUCCCCCUCGCAAGAACAUAAAGGCUGCGAAAUUAUACUCAGCCCGCCUUAGUGAUAUUGACCUCUCCU
This is a long non-coding RNA of Dermacentor andersoni, 2072 nucleotides long. RefSeq lists it as uncharacterized. NCBI's taxonomy places the organism in Eukaryota, Metazoa, Arthropoda, Arachnida, Ixodida, Ixodidae. The record is from RefSeq and is a predicted model, not a curated record.